This 201-nucleotide ribosomal RNA is filed under the name Priestia flexa. Its description in RNAcentral is "Bacillus flexus partial 16S ribosomal RNA". It matches the Rfam family "Bacterial small subunit ribosomal RNA", at positions 1341 to 1533 of the family's 1533-position model. Lineage: Bacteria; Bacillati; Bacillota; Bacilli; Caryophanales; Bacillaceae. The record is from RNAcentral.
AUCGCGGAUCAGCAUGCCGCGGUGAAUACGUUCCCGGGCCUUGUACACACCGCCCGUCACACCACGAGAGUUUGUAACACCCGAAGUCGGUGGGGUAACCUUUAUGGAGCCAGCCGCCUAAGGUGGGACAGAUGAUUGGGGUGAAGUCGUAACAAGGUAGCCGUAUCGGAAGGUGCGGCUGGAUCACCUCCUUUCUAAGGA